AUUGAACGCUGGCGGCAUGCCUUACACAUGCAAGUCGAACGGCAGCACGGAGCUUGCUCUGGUGGCGAGUGGCGAACGGGUGAGUAAUAUAUCGGAACGUACCCUAGAGUGGGGGAUAACGUAGCGAAAGUUACGCUAAUACCGCAUACGAUCUAAGGAUGAAAGUGGGGGAUCGCAAGACCUCAUGCUCGUGGAGCGGCCGAUAUCUGAUUAGCUAGUUGGUAGGGUAAAAGCCUACCAAGGCAUCGAUCAGUAGCUGGUCUGAGAGGACGACCAGCCACACUGGAACUGAGACACGGUCCAGACUCCUACGGGAGGCAGCAGUGGGGAAUUUUGGACAAUGGGCGAAAGCCUGAUCCAGCAAUGCCGCGUGAGUGAAGAAGGCCUUCGGGUUGUAAAGCUCUUUUGUCAGGGAAGAAACGGUGGGAGCUAAUAUCUCUUGCUAAUGACGGUACCUGAAGAAUAAGCACCGGCUAACUACGUGCCAGCAGCCGCGGUAAUACGUAGGGUGCAAGCGUUAAUCGGAAUUACUGGGCGUAAAGCGUGCGCAGGCGGUUUUGUAAGUCUGAUGUGAAAUCCCCGGGCUCAACCUGGGAAUUGCACUGGAGACUGCAAGGCUAGAAUCUGGCAGAGGGGGGUAGAAUUCCACGUGUAGCAGUGAAAUGCGUAGAUAUGUGGAGGAACACCGAUGGCGAAGGCAGCCCCCUGGGUCAAGAUUGACGCUCAUGCACGAAAGCGUGGGGAGCAAACAGGAUUAGAUACCCUGGUAGUCCACGCCCUAAACGAUGUCUACUAGUUGUCGGGUCUUAAUUGACUUGGUAACGCAGCUAACGCGUGAAGUAGACCGCCUGGGGAGUACGGUCGCAAGAUUAAAACUCAAAGGAAUUGACGGGGACCCGCACAAGCGGUGGAUGAUGUGGAUUAAUUCGAUGCAACGCGAAAAACCUUACCUACCCUUGACAUGGCUGGAAUCCUUGAGAGAUCAGGGAGUGCUCGAAAGAGAACCAGUACACAGGUGCUGCAUGGCUGUCGUCAGCUCGUGUCGUGAGAUGUUGGGUUAAGUCCCGCAACGAGCGCAACCCUUGUCAUUAGUUGCUACGAAAGGGCACUCUAAUGAGACUGCCGGUGACAAACCGGAGGAAGGUGGGGAUGACGUCAAGUCCUCAUGGCCCUUAUGGGUAGGGCUUCACACGUCAUACAAUGGUACAUACAGAGCGCCGCCAACCCGCGAGGGGGAGCUAAUCGCAGAAAGUGUAUCGUAGUCCGGAUUGUAGUCUGCAACUCGACUGCAUGAAGUUGGAAUCGCUAGUAAUCGCGGAUCAGCAUGUCGCGGUGAAUACGUUCCCGGGUCU
RNAcentral lists this ribosomal RNA (1352 nucleotides) under uncultured bacterium. Its description in RNAcentral is "bacterial SSU rRNA". It matches the Rfam family "Bacterial small subunit ribosomal RNA", at positions 28 to 1381 of the family's 1533-position model. The record is from RNAcentral.